This 1357-nucleotide ribosomal RNA is filed under the name uncultured bacterium. Its description in RNAcentral is "bacterial SSU rRNA". It matches the Rfam family "Bacterial small subunit ribosomal RNA", at positions 8 to 1363 of the family's 1533-position model. The record is from RNAcentral.
AGAGUUUGAUCCUGGCUCAGGAUGAACGCUGGCGGCGUGCUUAACACAUGCAAGUCGAGCGAAGCAAUUUAAGUGAAGUUUUCGGAUGGAUCUUAGAUUGACUGAGCGGCGGACGGGUGAGUAACGCGUGGAUAACCUGCCUCACACAGGGGGAUAACAGUUAGAAAUGACUGCUAAUACCGCAUAAGCGCACGGUACCGCAUGGUACAGUGUGAAAAACUCCGGUGGUGUGAGAUGGAUCCGCGUCUGAUUAGGUAGUUGGUGAGGUAACGGCCCACCAAGCCGACGAUCAGUAGCCGACCUGAGAGGGUGACCGGCCACAUUGGGACUGAGACACGGCCCAAACUCCUACGGGAGGCAGCAGUGGGGAAUAUUGCACAAUGGGCGAAAGCCUGAUGCAGCAACGCCGCGUGAGUGAAGAAGUAUCUCGGUAUGUAAAGCUCUAUCAGCAGGGAAGAAGAAAGACGGUACUUGACUAAGAAGCCCCGGCUAACUACGUGCCAGCAGCCGCGGUAAUACGUAGGGGGCAAGCGUUAUCCGGAUUUACUGGGUGUAAAGGGAGCGCAGGUGGUAUGGCAAGUCAGAAGUGAAAACCCGAGGCUCAACCACGGGAUUGCUUUCGAAACUGUUAAACUAGAGUGCAGGAGGGGCAGGCGGAAUUCCUGGUGUAGCGGUGAAAUGCGUAGAUAUCAGGAGGAACACCGGUGGCGAAGGCGGCCUGCUGGACUGUAACUGACACUGAGGCUCGAAAGCGUGGGGAGCAAACAGGAUUAGAUACCCUGGUAGUCCACGCCGUAAACGAUGAAAUACUAGGGGGUCGGGUAGCAAAGCUACUCGGUGCCGUCGCAAACGCAGUAAGUAUUCCACCUGGGGAGUACGUUCGCAAGAAUGAAACUCAAAGGAAUUGACGGGGACCCGCACAAGCGGUGGAGCAUGUGGUUUAAUUCGAAGCAACGCGAAGAACCUUACCAAGGCUUGACAUCCCGAUGACCGCUCUAGAGAUAGAGCUUCUCUUCGGAGCAUCGGUGACAGGUGGUGCAUGGUUGUCGUCAGCUCGUGUCGUGAGAUGUUGGGUUAAGUCCCGCAACGAGCGCAACCCUUAUCUUCAGUAGCCAUCAUUCAGUUGGGCACUCUGGAGAGACUGCCGUGGAUAACACGGAGGAAGGUGGGGAUGACGUCAAAUCAUCAUGCCCCUUAUGUCUUGGGCUACACACGUGCUACAAUGGCUGGUAACAAAGUGACGCAAGACGGCGACGUUAAGCAAAUCACAAAAACCCAGUCCCAGUUCGGAUAGUAGUCUGCAACUCGACUACAUGAAGCUGGAAUCGCUAGUAAUCGCGAAUCAGAAUGUCGCGGU